GGGAGCGUACUGGAUUCGAUUUAGGACCUUACGCCAAAUUGCAAGCAGAGGAUGAUAGUGGGCCUCUUAAAACAUCUAUCAAGGUAAUUCAACUGCCAAUAAUGUUGAUAUGGCUCCUUCGGUUGCCGAAGCUGACGCGAUUCUCGCUAAGCACGGCUGGACCGAAGAGGCUGCUGUAGCUGCGUAAGCUACCCGUCCUACUCUGGAUGCUCGCUAAAGAGCUAGGGCGUCGACAGCGAGCAAAACUAGGAACCGAAGGGGGGUCUAGUAUAAAUAAAGUCUCCCUCAAAACUCGUGUAGGCCGUUGUCGGUGACGUGUCACAAGCGAGUACCAACACCGACUAAGCUUGUAGUAUAUUUGAGCCAAUGGCUCUAAAGACGCGGGUUCGACUCCCGCCGCUUCCACCA
This 408-nucleotide transfer-messenger RNA is filed under the name Bacteroidota bacterium. Its description in RNAcentral is "Bacteroidetes bacterium (marine metagenome) transfer-messenger RNA". It matches the Rfam family "transfer-messenger RNA". Rfam says of the family: Bacterial tmRNA, also known as 10Sa RNA or SsrA, is named for its dual tRNA and mRNA-like properties. Its role is to liberate the mRNA from a stalled ribosome. The record is from RNAcentral. Lineage: Bacteria; Pseudomonadati; Bacteroidota.